GGAAGUGCUUGGCCACAGUCGCAGCCCCGGCGCCCCGAAGCGGGAAAAAGGCUGGGUGCCGCCGUCCCCCAGCUGCGCAACCCUAGGAACUCUCGGCAAAAAAAAAGAGCAUGAGGAAUUUGAAGACUGAGAGAUGAGUUGUGUAGCACCAACAUUUUCUUUCUGCCUGACCUUCAUACCUGAUGAAUUAAAAGGUGAUGAUACAGUGUUUUGGUGUCCCAAAGAAAUAAAAUCCAGCACUGUCCAAUUGAAGUAUAAUGCAAGCCACAUUUCUAGUAGCCAUAUUUUAAAAAGUAACAAUAAAGUGUUGAAAUUUACCUUAAUACUGCCUUUUUUAACCAAAUAGGUCCAAAAUAUUAUUAUUUUGACAGGCAUUAUGAGUUGAGUUGUGUCCCCCACAAAAUUCAUGUUGAAGCCCUAACCAGCAGUACCACAGAAUGUGACUAUAUUGAGAGAUGGGGUUUUAAAAGAAGUAAUUAAGUUAAAAUGGUUUCAUUAGGGUGGGCCCUAAUCCAAUAUAACUGAUGUUCUUAUAACAAGAGGCAAUAUGGACAUGGGCACACACAGAGGGAAGAUCAUGUGAUGACAUGAGUCAAGAAGAGAGGCCUCAGAAGAAACCAACCUGACAACACCUGGAUCUCAGACUUCUACCUUCUAGAAUUGUGAAAAAUACAUUUAUCUUGCUUAACCCACCUAGUCUAUGAUAAUUUGUUAUGGCAUCUCUAGCAAACUAAUACAAUAUGUAAUCAAUUAAUGAAAAUAAAAUGUAUUAAUAAG
This 777-nucleotide long non-coding RNA is filed under the name Homo sapiens (human). RNAcentral describes it as "HSALNT0296553". Lineage: Eukaryota; Metazoa; Chordata; Mammalia; Primates; Hominidae. The record is from RNAcentral.